GUAGAUUUUAUUUAAUUUUAUCAGUAUAAUUGAGAUAUAUAAUGUAAAGUUGGUUUCUUUUUAACUAUUUCAUUACAUUAAGUCAGGCCGAUCCCAAUUAAUGGACAAUUAUGGGUAUACAUAUUUUAUACACCAUGUAGAAGAAAUAACUAAAUACUUAAGUAGACCUAGUAGAUUUUUCUUUGAAUAUUUUUAUUUUAUUGUAUUUUAAACACAUUGUUUUAACAAAAAAAUGAUAUUGGUAUUAUGAUAUUUUACGUUAACAUAGUGUUAACAGUCUUUUAAACAUGAAUCAUUGGUGGUAUCUACUAAGACAAGAAACCCAAUUGCUUACAUUAUAUAAUGAUUAAAAAAUGGCAAUGUGAGUAACACAUUUUAAUAAUAUCUCUUUCCAUGAAAAUUUCUAGUACGCCACUGCUUAAAAAUAUAUCAAAAUUAAGGAAUGACUUGACAAAAAUGACUAUCCUGUUAUCAGUAAAAUAAUUCUUGAAGUUAAACGUGCUUGGAGAAAAAUAUAUUUUACGUGUAAGAUUGAAAUUUCAUUUGAAAAUAUAAUUUUAUUAUAAACAAAAAAAUGGAAUCAAUAUUAAUAACCUUUGGUAUCCAAGCAAUAUUAAUUUCAUCAACAUUUGAUACCGACGGUGAAUCAAUUGUGUUGUCUAAAAGAGAAGUUUGAUGAAGUCUAGCUCCUUCAAUCAAGACAUUAGUUAUCGUUACAGUUUUUUUAGAACUUUUGAGUUUGUUUGUGGAUAAAGAGCAAUCUAAUAUUAAACUAUCCAUUGAUGUUCCGUAAAGUCUAUAAACAAUAUACAUUUUAUUAGCAGACGGAUAUAGUUGCUGGAGAUGCAUGCUGUAAUGAAUUUGUUUCAAACAGAAAAUUUACAUUAGAUCCAAAUUGUAUUCUCCAACCAGAUGGUAGUGUCAAUAAUCUAUUGUCAUCUAGUACAGAGUUUAAUGAUUCUAUCCAUUCUGGGUCGACAUCUCCAUCAAAUAUUAUCCAUGACAUAACAUCUAAUACAAGGGUUUUAAGUAUCAUAGGACAAUAAUAAGAUAUAAUCGAGCUGAUAAAACUCAAAAAAUUUUAACUUUUAAAUGGUCAUAAAACUAAACACAGAAACGGAAUCCAACCUGCACUCUAAUCAACAUGGGUUCACGACUGACAGAUCAACGGAGAUUGCCAUAGACCAGAUGAUAAAUUGGGUCGACGAUAGACCAGAAAAAUACGUCAUGAUAGCCUUCUUGGACAUAACAGGUGCGUUUGACAACAUAGUCUGGGAUCAACUAAUCAGGGAUAUGGAAGUACUCACCGCGUCUAGCAAAUCGGUUAGACUGGCGAAAAGCUAUUUGAAUGGUAGAACGGCACUAUCAACAGUGUUGUUGAGUAAGGGGUGUUCCCAAAGGGACAAAUUACGAUCCUUACAUGCGGAGAAUAGCAGCGAAUUCCAUAUUGACAGAAAAUCGGUUAAAAUAUACGGAACGAAUCCUAUACACGGACGAUGUUGCUAUACUCGUAGCAGCAACCUCCAAGAGGGUACUUAUAGCUAGAAUGGAAGGAGCUCUUGAGCCACUUCCUAGGUGGUCAAAUAGAUUUGGUUUUGCAUUUUUUCCGCAAAAUUGCAAGGCCAUAACCAUAAAACGGAAACUAUGGAUGGGAUUUACCAUUGGUAUGAGAGAUACCAGAAUCACAUCAGUGAUCCAAAUUAAAUAUCUUGGCCUCCAUAUGGGAGGUGGGGCUCAAAUUCAAUCCCCAUGUCUACCAACUAGUGAACACUGCUGAAGAUAUGUAUAGCAGAAUGAAGGUAGUAUCUGGCGUCAACUGGGGAUGCGACCAGAGUAUUGCGGAAAUAAUAUACAAAGCAGUAUUCCUACCGAAGAUUAUCUAUGGAGUGAAAUUUUGGGCUACUCACAUAAGAGAAUAUAGGACAAGGAUGAAGCUUGAAUCCGUACAAAUAAGAGCCCUACUGGCAAGAACCCGAGCAUACAGAACAAUGUCAACUUUAUCACUACAGCUCCUUGCAGGAUAGAUUCCACUAGAUCUGUUUGCUAAACUGGAGCAAAAGAGGAAAAUAGCACCUGAUGAAUAUGAUUCAUACAGGGAAGAAAUAAUCGAUGAAUGGCAACAUAGAGUCGACAUGUCAGAAAAGGGCAGAUGGACAAGACAAAUAAUACCAGAUGUUAGGGUAAGAUUAAGACAUCGAUGAACUACUUCAUGGACUACUUUGUUUUAAAAUUAUAAGAUAAAAUAUAAUUUCUCCUUUUCAGAAAUUAAUUGAAUCCUUAAAUUAACAGAAAUAUAACUCUAUCCCCCUUCUUUUUCUUAAAAAUGAUAUAUUAAUUUUUUAAA
Daktulosphaira vitifoliae (grape phylloxera) is the source of this 2344-nucleotide long non-coding RNA. RefSeq lists it as uncharacterized. The record is from RefSeq and is a predicted model, not a curated record. Lineage: Eukaryota; Metazoa; Arthropoda; Insecta; Hemiptera; Phylloxeridae. The transcript has 4 exons.